This 86-nucleotide transfer RNA is filed under the name Streptomyces agglomeratus. It matches the Rfam family "tRNA". Rfam says of the family: Transfer RNA (tRNA) molecules are approximately 80 nucleotides in length. Their secondary structure includes four short double-helical elements and three loops (D, anti-codon, and T loops). The record is from Rfam by way of RNAcentral. Lineage: Bacteria; Bacillati; Actinomycetota; Actinomycetes; Kitasatosporales; Streptomycetaceae.
GCGGCCGUGGCGCAGCAGGUUGACGCGAUCGGUUUAGGUCCGAUUUGUCCUUUUGGACUAGGUGGGUUCGAAUCCCAUCGGCCGCA